CAGAAACGUUGUUUAAAAGGAAUACAAGUGGCACUUUUACAAAUACAAGAGAUUCCCCACAAAAUGCUCGACUAAAAUAUUCUUGCACUAGGAUUUGUGGAACUAGAGGAUAUUACGGACAAGUCAAGAACUGUUAGUUUAAAGUAGGAGUAUCCAAAUACCAUCCAGCUAAUUCACAAGUUCAUUCACGGAAAGAGCAAAAUGGAGCAACUCAUCAUUUGAUGGAACUUUUCGAUGAUAUGUUGAUGAAAGGAAGCAGCUGUGUUUCCAGUGACAUAUCCCACAAACAUGAAAUAAUAUUGGCACAAAUUGCUAUACAAAAAUAUGAACUAGAUAUAAUAGCAACAUAUGGCUUUUGAAAAAGCUUGAUAAGCUAAGUAAUUAUUCACGGUGGUUCCUUGUUUUAUAUUUUACACGUGAAAAGCUUGAUAAGCUAAGUAAUUAUUCAAGGUGGUUCCUUGUUUUAUAUUUUACACGUAUAGAAACAGAGGAAUCACAUAUAAGUAGAAAAAGGAUAUCGUCCAUGUAUGUGCUUCAUGUUGUUGAGCUUUUGUUUGCCGCGGACACUUGCUUC
RNAcentral lists this long non-coding RNA (574 nucleotides) under Nicotiana benthamiana. Its description in RNAcentral is "long non-coding RNA (NBEN_LNC006511)". Lineage: Eukaryota; Viridiplantae; Streptophyta; Magnoliopsida; Solanales; Solanaceae. The record is from RNAcentral.